UACGUUUUAAAUUCUAAUAAGAAAAUUUCUCAGGAAAUCAGUCAGGAGCUGAUAGCUUCCCGUCCCGGUCCACAAAUUUACGUCCCUAUUUUUUCGGUAUCGGUGGUCAUUUUCGGUUCCGUUUCGUGGAUUUACCAGCCGCUUCCACGUACUUGGGUGUGAGACUGAAUCAGCGGCGCGGCACCGGAAUUAAAACAAAGUGUUUUCUUGUUUCCCUCGGAACCAGCAGAAUCAAGUUAAAAAAAAGUUAAAAACUGAACGGCAUCCAAGUACGCACCGUCAGUACAAAGGGCAAACGGGAAGCUGCCUGAUGGUGCUGCUGAUGGGGCAUCCGGAUUCCCAGCCGAGCGAAGUGGCACUAGUAGUGAGGAUCCUGAAGGUAGCCAAAAUUGUUUUAUAAAUGAAGCAACCAUGUAAUAUGUUCAACGUCAAGCUCAACAUCAGUACUCCAGGAAACAAGUUCUCUGUAGAUGUAGAUCAGAAUUUCGAAAACCAAUUUGCGCUUAACAACGGCCGUCGGAUGAUUCAUGGAAUCCAUUGUUUGCAUGUUUUGGAGUUAAAAUAGUGGUUAGUGAAAAGUGGUUUAUUUGGUAUAAUAAAAGAAAAAUGAAAGAAACGAUAAAAUCAACCAAA
This is a long non-coding RNA of Uranotaenia lowii, 633 nucleotides long. RefSeq lists it as uncharacterized. The record is from RefSeq and is a predicted model, not a curated record. The transcript is spliced from 4 exons. Lineage: Eukaryota; Metazoa; Arthropoda; Insecta; Diptera; Culicidae.